Long non-coding RNA from Mauremys mutica (yellowpond turtle), 1143 nucleotides. RefSeq lists it as uncharacterized. The record is from RefSeq and is a predicted model, not a curated record. The transcript has 3 exons. NCBI's taxonomy places the organism in Eukaryota, Metazoa, Chordata, Testudines, Geoemydidae.
CCAAUAUUUCCCAAAGAAAGUCUGAAAAGAAACAACACUUCUUACCACUGAAAGAGCCCAACCCGGUAAAUAAUGCUACCUCCACAUUCACCUAAAGGAAGGUUAAUAUUUUGUCAGGCCUCCAAAAACUGAGUACAGUUGCACGGUGGUGCAUGCCAGGCCAGUGUAGCACCUCAGCCCUCACAGAUAUCAGGUACAGAACAACUCCAGGGUGAGGUCUCCACCCUCCACCCUUGAGGGCAGCAGAGCGAUCCCCUUCACGGGCAAGCAGGAGCAGCCAGCAGAAAGGACUCAUCUGACCAAGGGAUCCAUAGGAAGACCUUGAUACAGCACAUUGCAACGAUGGAUGGAAAGAAGAAAAUCCUGCCUGCAACAGAAUGUUAUUUUUUCUUCCUCUCUCCUGGCUGGUUCAUGCAAGAGGAUAGAGUCUGCUGCUCCCAGCCAAUAGAAUUAUUACUUUUUUCAGUUCAAAUGAUAAAAGCUCAUUGCUUUAGUGCUGAAGUUUGAGAUGCAGACCCGGCUGAAGACCCAAAUGGAGGAAGGAGAGGAGAGUGCUGUUACAAAUUGGCAUCCAACGUGGCAUGUGAUUUUGUAAGGACCUGUCUACAGUAGCAAACUGGUUCAUUGCCAACAGUGGGUCUGUGUCCUAAUGGCUGGGAAUUAAGGCGAUUUUUUAUGUUAGUUCUGUGCAGAGAUUUCUAGUGGUCUGGUUUAUUUGUAUUUUUGUAUCUAUUCUUCCCAAUGUCUGAUGCAUGUUUGAUUUAAACUUUGGUCUAAUGCAUUUGUAAACUGCUUUAGUUAAGAUGGCUCUAGAUGUUGUAUUAUUUUCUGUAUAUUAAUGAGGGAAGAGAAGCUCAUCCUUGUUAUUCUCUGCAGCCAUUACUGGUGCUGGAGGAAUGCCUAGUUCUGGGACAAUCUGCACCCAUUGCUAUAUUUGCUUUCCACAAGCUACUCUUAGUAUAACUUUCUGUGAGUGAUGUACUCAAAUAUUUCGAUCUUAAUAUUUUAAUGAUAUUGUUAAAUUUAUUAACCUUAAUUUAGGAUAGUGCAGAUUAUAUACAGUAUGUUUUUAUGUUUUAUAUUUUAUGACUUUUAAACCAAACUUCGUACUUUUAUAUCAUUUAAGCAUUAUACUCAGGUGUA